UACGUAGGGGGCAAGCGUUGUCCGGAUUUAUUGGGCGUAAAGAGCGUGUAGGCGGCCAUGCAGGUCCGUUGUGAAAACUCGAGGCUCAACCUCGAGACGCCGAUGGAAACCGCAUGGCUAGAGUCCGGAAGAGGAGAGUGGAAUUCCUGGUGUAGCGGUGAAAUGCGCAGAUAUCAGGAAGAACACCCGUGGCUAAGGCGGCUCUCUAGUACGGUACUGACGCUGAGACGCAAAAGCGUGGGGAGCGAACAGG
This 253-nucleotide ribosomal RNA is filed under the name uncultured bacterium. RNAcentral describes it as "partial 16S ribosomal RNA". It matches the Rfam family "Bacterial small subunit ribosomal RNA", at positions 524 to 776 of the family's 1533-position model. The record is from RNAcentral.